Molecule: ribosomal RNA, 848 nt
Filed under: Hebeloma lactariolens
Lineage: Eukaryota; Fungi; Basidiomycota; Agaricomycetes; Agaricales; Hymenogastraceae
Description: partial large subunit ribosomal RNA
Rfam family: Eukaryotic large subunit ribosomal RNA
Source: RNAcentral
GAUUCCCCUAGUAACUGCGAGUGAAGCGGGAAAAGCUCAAAUUUAAAAUCUGGCGGUCUCUGGCCGUCCGAGUUGUAAUCUAGAGAAGUGUUAUCCGCGCUGGACCGUGUACAAGUCUCCUGGAAUGGAGCAUCAUAGAGGGUGAGAAUCCCGUCUUUGACACGGACUACCAGGGCUUUGUGAUGCGCUCUCAAAGAGUCGAGUUGUUUGGGAAUGCAGCUCAAAAUGGGUGGUAAAUUCCAUCUAAAGCUAAAUAUUGGCGAGAGACCGAUAGCGAACAAGUACCGUGAGGGAAAGAUGAAAAGAACUUUGGAAAGAGAGUUAAACAGUACGUGAAAUUGCUGAAAGGGAAACGCUUGAAGUCAGUCGCGUUGGCCGGGGAUCAACCUUGCUUUUGCUGGGCGUACUUUCCGGUUGACGGGUCAGCAUCAAUUUUGACCGUUGGAUAAAGUCUGGGGGAAUGUGGCAUCUUCGGAUGUGUUAUAGCCCUUGGUCGCAUACAACGGUUGGGAUUGAGGAACUCAGCACGCCGCAAGGCCGGGUACUUGUACCACGUUCGUGCUUAGGAUGCUGGCAUAAUGGCUUUAAUCGACCCGUCUUGAAACACGGACCAAGGAGUCUAACAUGCCUGCGAGUGUUUGGGUGGAAAACUCGGACGCGUAAUGAAAGUGAAAGUUGAGAUCCCUGUCGUGGGGAGCAUCGACGCCCGGACCAGACCUUUUGUGACGGAUCCGCGGUAGAGCAUGUAUGUUGGGACCCGAAAGAUGGUGAACUAUGCCUGAAUAGGGUGAAGCCAGAGGAAACUCUGGUGGAGGCUCGUAGCGAUUCUGACGUGCAAAUCGAUCGUC